UUGAAAAGACAGUGGCAGUAUCGUAGCCAAUGAGGUUUAUCCGAGGCGCGAUUAUUGCUAAUUGAAAAGAUACACAUAUGAGAUACACAUUUAUGUAUCUGUAAGGAAAGAAAUCAAAAUGUUAACGGUGGUUUUCUAU
This is a small nuclear RNA of Neogale vison (American mink), 139 nucleotides long. RefSeq annotates it as U4 spliceosomal RNA. NCBI's taxonomy places the organism in Eukaryota, Metazoa, Chordata, Mammalia, Carnivora, Mustelidae. The record is from RefSeq and is a predicted model, not a curated record. The transcript has a single exon.